This is a long non-coding RNA of Esox lucius (northern pike), 1671 nucleotides long. RefSeq lists it as uncharacterized. Lineage: Eukaryota; Metazoa; Chordata; Actinopteri; Esociformes; Esocidae. The record is from RefSeq and is a predicted model, not a curated record. The transcript is spliced from 10 exons.
GAACAGAGAAGAGCCUUAGCUGACUCAAACGCCUGUUGACACUCUGCAGACCACGUAAACUGUACCUUCGGGCUCAGUAAUGAGGGGUGCAUUCUGAUGGGCGACGCAUUUCCUACGUCAAUGUCAUGCUCCAACACCGUUGUGCGACUGGGAACGUCCUGAAAGAGACUGGGAAACGAAUGAAUAAGGGCAGACCUCUGCCACCAGCAUCCCAGCUACCGGACCUGGAACACCACAUGGGCUGGACUUUGUUGGGCUAACAGUGUAUGGACCACAAUAACGAGCUGAUAAAGACGAACCUGGCACCGACCAGGCCAGAAGAAGUGCCUGAGGACACGGUCGUAUGUUUUUCUGAUGCCCAGGUGCCCUGCCCACGUAUAAUCGUGAGCCAGUGACAACACCUGCUGACGGAACGGUGUGGGCAAAACAACCUGGUUUACUCUCAAGUGUGGGUGGAGGAGACUGCUCUCCUUUCGGCAACUGAACCGGGACUCUAACAGGUGGGAUCGGGUUUCUCUAAAACCUCCAGAACUGGGACGACCUUGCCCCCAGCUAUGUCGUUGCCCAACAAAAAUGACACCCUGUCAACUGGCAACUUUUGGACCACCCCUACACGGAACCGGCCAGACACAACAGACGACGACAGGGAAACCCAACCCUCAGUAAUAAAAGGGCUGUACACAGCAUCGGGCUCUUUUGAGCACACAAAACCAACGCUCUUAGGUGGAGACGGAGGAGUUUUGGACUUAGCCUUUAGCACUGGACACUCGGCUAUCAGGUGACCUGGGCGAUGACAAUAGAAACAAUCCCUCUCAGUCCUAUUAAGAGACGGGGCAGAGGAACCUGCGGAACCACGAGGGGUCCUGGACACCUGUGACAUACGAGACCUGGUCUCUGGAUUAGGUGGGCCAAACACUGUUUUGUGUGUCAGAGCAUAUUCAUCAGCCAUUACAGCUGCUUGUUUUAAUGUGGCUACUUUCUGUUCAUUUAGGUGUACUACGAUCCUAUCUGGCAGGUGGUUUUUGAAGUCUUCUAGCAGUAUCAUUUCUCUAAUGGCAGCGAACAGAGACGCCACCACCUCCUGUGCCUUCCCUGUCAGCCUACACUGGAGCAGCAAAGGCCAGACCUCCUUAGGCCAGCGAAGAGCCCCUGCUACUCUCUCAAAAGCGGAGAAGUAGGAAUCCACUUCUGCUUCUCUGAAUGGAGGAACGACAGCUAUGUUUCUCCCAACAUCAAAAGGCCCCUCUCUACCCACUGGUCAGCUUCAAGGCGGGCCAGCCGAAGCUUAAGUCUAGCGGUCUCCCCCGAGCCCUCAGGCUCAAAAGGAGAUGGCUCGAACUUGGGUAGGGUCAAAGGCGCCCGAGUCGCCACCCCCACACCGCCCUCCGGCCGUGCAGGCGAGAGACUUGUCAGCACCUCAUGCCCUUCCCCAGCUUCCUCAGCUGCCACUUGCUCCUCAACCUCUUCCUCCUCGACCUCCUCUUCCUCAUCCUCAUCCUGUGAGGGAACUACACCUUGAGACAAUAAAUGCAGUGAAAUGACUGCAACUAUUUCUGCCUUGAGUGAGUGCUUGGAGACUGGGAUGUUAUAGUGAGCUGCUACCGCUAACAAGUCUGUUUUAGUGAGCCGUGACAAACCCUCAAGAGUAGGGUCCGCAAUAAAAAGGUCCAC